UUCCGGUUGAUCCUGCCGGACCUGACUGCUAUCGGAUUGAUACUAAGCCAUGCGAGUCAUUGUAGCAAUACAAGGCAUACGGCUCAGUAACGCGUAGUCAACCUACCCUAUGGACGGGAAUAACCUCGGGAAACUGAGAAUAAUGCCCGAUAGAACAUUAUGCCUGGAAUGGUUUAUGUUCCAAAUAAUUUAUUGCCGUAGGAUGGGACUGCGGCCUAUCAGUUUGUUGGUGAGGUAAUGGCCCACCAAGACUAUUACAGGUACGGGCUCUGAGAGGAGUGGCCCGGAGAUGGGUACUGAGACACGGACCCAGGCCCUAUGGGGCGCAGCAGGCGAGAAAACUUUGCAAUGUGCGAAAGCACGACAAGGUUAAUCCGAGUGGUUUCUGCUAAAGGAACCUUUUGUUAGUCCUAGAAACACUAACGAAUAAGGGGUGGGCAAGUUCUGGUGUCAGCCGCCGCGGUAAAACCAGCACCUCAAGUGGUCAGGAUGAUUAUUGGGCCUAAAGCAUCCGUAGCCUGAUCUGUAAGUUUUCGGUUAAAUCUGUACGCUCAACGUACAGGCUGCCGGGAAUACUGCAAAUCUAGGGAGUGGGAGAGGAAGACGGUACUCGGGAGGAAGUGGUAAAAUGCUUUGAUCUCUCGAUGA
This 648-nucleotide ribosomal RNA is filed under the name uncultured archaeon. Its description in RNAcentral is "bacterial SSU rRNA". It matches the Rfam family "Archaeal small subunit ribosomal RNA", at positions 1 to 656 of the family's 1478-position model. The record is from RNAcentral.